RNAcentral lists this ribosomal RNA (419 nucleotides) under uncultured bacterium. RNAcentral describes it as "bacterial SSU rRNA". It matches the Rfam family "Bacterial small subunit ribosomal RNA", at positions 354 to 787 of the family's 1533-position model. The record is from RNAcentral.
UGGGGGAAUAUUGGGCAAUGGGCGCAAGCCUGACCCAGCAACGCCGCGUGAAGGAAGAAGGCUUUCGGGUUGUAAACUUCUUUUAAGAGGGACGAAAGAAAUGACGGUACCUCUUGAAUAAGCUCCGGCUAACUACGUGCCAGCAGCCGCGGUAAUACGUAGGGAGCGAGCGUUAUCCGGAUUUACUGGGUGUAAAGGGCGUGUAGGCGGGAUGGCAAGUCAGGCGUGAAAACUAUGGGCUCAACCCAUAGCCUGCGUUUGAAACUGUCGUUCUUGAGUGAUGGAGAGGCAAGCGGAAUUCCGUGUGUAGCGGUGAAAUGCGUAGAUAUACGGAGGAACACCAGUGGCGAAGGCGGCUUGCUGGACAUUAACUGACGCUGAGGCGCGAAAGCGUGGGGAGCAAACAGGAUUAGAUACCC